This 1248-nucleotide ribosomal RNA is filed under the name Triticum aestivum (bread wheat). Its description in RNAcentral is "partial small subunit ribosomal RNA". Lineage: Eukaryota; Viridiplantae; Streptophyta; Magnoliopsida; Poales; Poaceae. The record is from RNAcentral.
AUGGAGGAUGCCGCAACUUCGAAUCCAGCUCCACCCAACACUGUUAUCGAUCUACCUGAUGAUGAUGAGGAUGAGGAGCCGCUGAAGCACAGGAGGAGUCGGAAAGCGCCUGCCGGCAAGGUGUCUCAGGAUGCGUCAGCGCCUGAAAUUCUGACUGUGGAGGGAGAGAACACCACUCGACACACGGUGACCUUCGCGACCCCACUGACGAGUGCUCAGCAGCCUUCCCUCUUCACGACUCACCACGUCCCAGAGGACCAGGCUGGUGCGGCGAAGGAGGCGAUACGCCAGGCGGGACUCAUGAUGGAGCAGCUGAAGACCAUCCGGGAUGCGAGUCAAGCAGCCUAUGACGCCAGCUCUGCCCUCCAAAGCAAUGUCCAGAACUCCUGUGAUCUUGUGGCUCGCUACUCAGAGCUAGAACAGAAACAUACUCAAGUCGAGCUGAGCUUGAAGCUGGUUCAGGAGAAGCUGACAAAGGCGAAGGAGGAGACUGAAGGUAAGGCAAAGGAGGCCCAGCAGAAGAAAGACCUUGAGCUAGCUGAGAAGAUCAAGCUUGCUGACGAGAAGUUAGCUUCAGUCACCAAGCUUGAACAAGACAAUACCAACCUGAAGACUGCUCUUGGGAUUGCCAACAAAGAAGUCAGUCGACUGAGAACUGACAAAGCUGCCUUGACCGAUCAAGUCAGCAAAUUGACUGAGAAGAAGACUGCGUUGGAGGCCUUCCUGAGUGGCUUUGCCAAGAAGCUGUUUCUUAUGCUCGAAGAAUUUUGUCAAAACUUUGAAGAAGAAACCAGCCGACUGGAGCCAAACCUUGACCCUGUCAAUUCUCCGGUAAAUGACGAGGUUGCCAUGGAUAUCUUCCGACUGGAAUCUCGCGUUGCAUCCGUCGUGGAUUAUCUCGCAAGGCUGAAGGCCGCCACAUCUCGCAUCGACUCGACGCUCUGGCCUGAGGAGACACUUCAGAAUGACCUUGAGUCAUUAAUGGCCCGCUUGAACACGAUCCCUGGUCGAGUGCAGGAAUGGAAGAAGUCCUCAGCUCGGUGUGGUGCAGAUGUUGCUCUGUGUCUGGCCCGAGUCCACUGCAAGGAUGCACGAGAGGAGAAGCUGGCGGCUCUUCGGGUGGCCAAUACCAAGAAGCACGACUUUAGGUCCUUCAUGGAGACUUUCCUUGCAGCUGCCACUCGGAUCGCCGACGGAAUUGACCUUGAUGAAUUCGUCGCACCUUCCAGCCCUCCACAGGAGGGGUAA